This 332-nucleotide unclassified non-coding RNA is filed under the name soil metagenome. RNAcentral's name for it is "partial contains 5.8S ribosomal RNA, internal transcribed spacer 2, and large subunit ribosomal RNA". The stretch from base 1 to 120 matches the Rfam family "5.8S ribosomal RNA", at positions 35 to 154 of the family's 154-position model. The record is from RNAcentral.
GAUGAAGAACGUAGCGAAAUGCGAUAAGUAAUGUGAAUUGCAGAAUUCAGUGAAUCAUCGAAUCUUUGAACGCACAUUGCGCCCCCUGGUAUUCCGGGGGGCAUGCCUGUUCGAGCGUCAUUUCACCACUCAAGCCUCGCUUGGUAUUGGGCAACGCGGUCCGCCGCGUGCCUCAAAUCGUCCGGCUGGGUCUUCUGUCCCCUAAGCGUUGUGGAAACUAUUCGCUAAAGGGUGUUCGGGAGGCUACGCCGUAAAACAACCCCAUUUCUAAGGUUGACCUCGGAUCAGGUAGGGAUACCCGCUGAACUUAAGCAUAUCAAUAAGCGGAGGGA